CUCCUGUGACGCGAGUGGCGGACGGGUGAGUAACACGUAGGCAACCUGCCCACCAGACCGGGAUAACCACGGGAAACCGUGGCUAAUACCGGAUAAUCCUUCCCCACAUAAGUGGGGGAGUUGAAAGGCGGCUUCGGCUGUCACUGGUGGAUGGGCCUGCGGCGCAUUAGCUGGUUGGUGGGGUAACGGCCCACCAAGGCGACGAUGCGUAGCCGACCUGAGAGGGUGAUCGGCCACACUGGGACUGAGACACGGCCCAGACUCCUACGGGAGGCAGCAGUAGGGAAUCUUCCGCAAUGGACGAAAGUCUGACGGAGCAACGCCGCGUGAGUGAAGAAGGGUUUCGGCUCGUAAAACUCUGUUGUCAGGGAAGAACGCCGACGGGAGUAACUGCCCGUCGGGUGACGGUACCUGACCAGAAAGCCACGGCUAACUACGUGCCAGCAGCCGCGGUAAUACGUAGGUGGCAAGCGUUAUCCGGAAUUAUUGGGCGUAAAGCGCGCGUAGGCGGUUCGUUAAGUCUGAUGUGAAAGCCCCCGGCUCAACCGGGGAGGGUCAUUGGAAACUGGCGAACUUGAGUGCAGAAGAGGAGAGUGGAAUUCCAUGUGUAGCGGUGAAAUGCGCAGAAUAUGGAGGAACACCAGUGGCGAAGGCGGCUCUCUGGUCUGUAACUGACGCUGAGUGCGAAAGCGUGGGGAUCAAACAGGAUUAGAUACCCUGGAGUCCACGCCGUAAACGAUGAUGCUAAGUGUUGGGGGUUUCCGCCCCUUAUGCUGCAGCUAACGCAUUAAGCACUCCGCCUGGGGAGUACGCCGCAGGUUGAAACUCA
This 829-nucleotide ribosomal RNA is filed under the name Salinicoccus roseus. RNAcentral describes it as "bacterial SSU rRNA". It matches the Rfam family "Bacterial small subunit ribosomal RNA", at positions 81 to 903 of the family's 1533-position model. The record is from RNAcentral. Lineage: Bacteria; Bacillati; Bacillota; Bacilli; Caryophanales; Staphylococcaceae.